This 431-nucleotide unclassified non-coding RNA is filed under the name soil metagenome. RNAcentral's name for it is "partial contains 5.8S ribosomal RNA, internal transcribed spacer 2, and large subunit ribosomal RNA". The stretch from base 1 to 120 matches the Rfam family "5.8S ribosomal RNA", at positions 35 to 154 of the family's 154-position model. The record is from RNAcentral.
GAUGAAGAACGUAGCGAAAUGCGAUACGUAAUGUGAAUUGCAGAAUUCAGUGAAUCAUCGAAUCUUUGAACGCAUAUUGCGCUCUCUGGUAUUCCGGAGAGCAUGCUUGUUUGAGUAUCAGUAAACACCUCAACUUCCAUAUCUUUUUUGAAAUGGGAGUUGGACUUGAGUGAUCCCAACGCUUUUCCUCACCGAAAAGUGGCGGGUUACUUGAAAUGCAGGUGCAGCUGGACUUUUCUCUGAGCUAUAAGCAUAUCUAUUUAGUCUGCCUAAAAAACAGAUUAUUACCUUUGCUGCAGCUAACAUAAAGGAGAUUAGUUCUUGUGCUGACUGAUGCAGGAUUCACAAAGACGGCUUCGGCCGACUUUGUAAACUCGAUCUCAAAUCAAGUAAGACUACCCGCUGAACUUAAGCAUAUCAAUAGCGGAGGA